UGCCCCCCUGCACAGCGAACAAGUCCAGACCGACUUAGAGAGAGAUAGAGAGAAAAAGUAAGAGAGAGAGAGAGAGAGAGAGAGANNNNNNNNNNNNNNNNNNNNACGACGACGAACGAACGACGACGACGACGUAGAGAGAGAGAGAGAAGAAGAAGAGAGAGAGAGAGAGAGAGAGAGAGAGGAGGCGAACCAGAGAUGCCGGCGGUGCAGUAGACGAGGACGAAGAUCAUGCCGCCGGCGGCCCAGGCGAUGCCAAGCAGGCCGACGCCGCCGCAGGCAUCGGCCUGCUUCUUGUGGCCGAUGAUGGUGGCCACUAAGACGUAGAGGAAUAGCAGGGUGGCAAUGAACUCUGCGAUCAGGGCUCUGUAGAAGGACCACAGACGGAGCUCCCCCAAGUCGAAGAGCGGUGCCGGCGGCGGAUCGCUGUAGUCCCUCGCCGCCUGCUGCGCCGACUCGACGCUCACCUCCUUCGUCAUCUCUGCGCUCGCUUCCCUCUGACACGACGACGAAGACCUCUUUCUUCUUCUUUUCCUUCUUCC
This 542-nucleotide long non-coding RNA is filed under the name Spirodela polyrhiza (greater duckweed). RNAcentral's name for it is "long non-coding RNA (SPOL_LNC001039)". The record is from RNAcentral. Lineage: Eukaryota; Viridiplantae; Streptophyta; Magnoliopsida; Alismatales; Araceae.